Oryza barthii is the source of this 206-nucleotide non-coding RNA. The record is from Rfam. Lineage: Eukaryota; Viridiplantae; Streptophyta; Magnoliopsida; Poales; Poaceae.
AAAAAGACAAACCCUGGGUUUCCGUGUCAAACUUUGACUGUCCGUCUUAUAUGAAAUUUUUUUAUAAUUCGUAUUUUCAUUGUUGUUAGAUGAUAAAACAUGAUUAAUAUUUUAUGCGUGACUUGUCUUUUUAUUUUUUUUUAUAAUUUUUUUAAAUAAGACGGACGGUCAAACGUUAGCCACGAAAACCAGAGUUUGUCUUUUUU